RNAcentral lists this long non-coding RNA (1328 nucleotides) under Carica papaya (papaya). RNAcentral describes it as "long non-coding RNA (CPAP_LNC008644)". The record is from RNAcentral. Lineage: Eukaryota; Viridiplantae; Streptophyta; Magnoliopsida; Brassicales; Caricaceae.
ACCUAAUUCCUCCUCAAUAAUUUUCAUAGCAAUAGACCUUGGAAAAGGAGGGAUUUGCUCAUUCAGCUCAGAGAGUGCCUGCAAUGACAUGAUAAUAAGGUAUAUAGAAAAGGAUUCUCUUUAGCAUAGUAGUGUGCAUGAAACUCUCAUUUAGGAGAAUAAUAUGAACAUAUAGCAUCACAUCAUACAUGUAUGUACACACAAGAAUCUACUAAAGGCAUAAAGGUAAAUAUGCAACUUAUCCAACUUAAAUUUCUGAAAUAUGAAUACAUUUUUUCCUUUUUUUAAUGCCCAAUAAGGAGGGAUUUGCUCAUUCAGCUCAGAGAGUGCCUGCAAUGACAUGAUAAUAAGGUAUAUAGAAAAGGAUUCUCUUUAGCAUAGUAGUGUGCAUGAAACUCUCAUUUAGGAGAAUAAUAUGAACAUAUAGCAUCACAUCAUACAUGUAUGUACACACAAGAAUCUACUAAAGGCAUAAAGGUAAAUAUGCAACUUAUCCAACUUAAAUUUCUGAAAUAUGAAUACAUUUUUUCCUUUUUUUAAUGCCCAAUAAGGAGGGAUUUGCUCAUUCAGCUCAGAGAGUGCCUGCAAUGACAUGAUAAUAAGGUAUAUAGAAAAGGAUUCUCUUUAGCAUAGUAGUGUGCAUGAAACUCUCAUUUAGGAGAAUAAUAUGAACAUAUAGCAUCACAUCAUACAUGUAUGUACACACAAGAAUCUACUAAAGGCAUAAAGGUAAAUAUGCAACUUAUCCAACUUAAAUUUCUGAAAUAUGAAUACAUUUUUUCCUUUUUUUAAUGCCCAAUAAGGAGGGAUUUGCUCAUUCAGCUCAGAGAGUGCCUGCAAUGACAUGAUAAUAAGGUAUAUAGAAAAGGAUUCUCUUUAGCAUAGUAGUGUGCAUGAAACUCUCAUUUAGGAGAAUAAUAUGAACAUAUAGCAUCACAUCAUACAUGUAUGUACACACAAGAAUCUACUAAAGGCAUAAAGGUAAAUAUGCAACUUAUCCAACUUAAAUUUCUGAAAUAUGAAUACAUUUUUUCCUUUUUUUAAUGCCCAAUAAGGAGGGCAAACUAUACAGAAUGUACAAUGUUAACAGAACAAAAUGAAAAGUUAGAACCAUUUGCCAUGAAAGGUGAAAAUAAAUAGAGCUUAAAUGAAUGACGAACAAAAGGGUGAAAUAAAUGAGAACCUUGAAUCCAUACUCUGCCAUGACCCACAAGAAAAGCUCUAAGAGUUAUGCAAAUUAACAACUUGAAUUUCAUAAAAUUCUGAAUGUCAUGAGCAUCUCAUGUUAACAUAAAGGAAGACAGAAAACUACCUUUUAUCUCACCUUG